Molecule: ribosomal RNA, 689 nt
Filed under: uncultured Actinobacteridae bacterium
Lineage: Bacteria; Bacillati; Actinomycetota; Actinomycetes
Description: bacterial SSU rRNA
Rfam family: Bacterial small subunit ribosomal RNA
Source: RNAcentral
GUGGCGAACGGGUGAGUAACACGUGAGUAACCUGCCCUUGACUCUGGGAUAAGCGUUGGAAACGACGUCUAAUACCGGAUACGAGCUGGGACCGCAUGGUCACCAGCUGGAAAGAACUUCGGUCAAGGAUGGACUCGCGGCCUAUCAGCUAGUUGGUGAGGUAACGGCUCACCAAGGCGACGACGGGUAGCCGGCCUGAGAGGGUGACCGGCCACACUGGGACUGAGACACGGCCCAUACUCCUACGGGAGGCAGCAGUGGGGAAUAUUGCACAAUGGGCGCAAGCCUGAUGCAGCAACGCCGCGUGAGGGACGACGGCCUUCGGGUUGUAAACCUCUUUUAGCAGGGAAGAAGCGAAAGUGACGGUACCUGCAGAAAAAGCACCGGCUAACUACGUGCCAGCAGCCGCGGUAAUACGUAGGGUGCAAGCGUUGUCCGGAAUUAUUGGGCGUAAAGAGCUCGUAGGCGGUCUGUCGCGUCUGCUGUGAAAACCCGAGGCUCAACCUCGGGCCUGCAGUGGGUACGGGCAGACUAGAGUGCGGUAGGGGAGAUUGGAAUUCCUGGUGUAGCGGUGGAAUGCGCAGAUAUCAGGAGGAACACCGAUGGCGAAGGCAGAUCUCUGGGCCGUAACUGACGCUGAGGAGCGAAAGCGUGGGGAGCGAACAGGAUUAGAUACCCUGGUAGUCCAC